RNAcentral lists this long non-coding RNA (738 nucleotides) under Monodelphis domestica (gray short-tailed opossum). RNAcentral's name for it is "lncRNA (ENSMODG00000038793.1)". The record is from RNAcentral. Lineage: Eukaryota; Metazoa; Chordata; Mammalia; Didelphimorphia; Didelphidae.
UUUAAUACAUAUUGCUUUAGUUUUACAUGUGUGUAUAUAUAUACAUAUCUACCUUUCUAUUUAUCUAUCUAGAUUUAACUAAAGCAAAUUCCCAACUGCAAUCUUCAAAUAAGAGUUGUUUCUACCAAGAUAAAACCCAUUUCUUCAAAAUGCCCAGAUGAUUCUGACCCACCGACCACAAAUGAAGGGAUCAAUCACGUGCUUCCUUCCUUUCCCUUCUAAACUUCUCUGAGCGUCAAGAAAUUCUCUCUGAACAUAACUUGUAGGUUGGUUAUGGCCUGCGCUGGUGUAAUAUACCGCAAUUGCGCAAUGAGUCCAUCAGAGGUCCAGGAUGUUGUUGGGUUAUUUACUCAAAUCAUUUCCCCAUCUUGUCCUCCUGGAAAUGAAUUUAAACGAAUGUUUUCUGCAUAAACAGACUGUGAGAACUACAUCACCCUUUUCGAGAAGCAGAGAGAAGGUUGCUCGCCUGUGGGACCAAUGCUCGUCACCCUAGCUGCUGGAAUUUGAACAUGUGGGUCCAGAUGGUUUUCAAAGACUGUAAUUUCAGGGGAUUUUAAACAACACAUUCUUAUUCUGUAAUAGACGGCAUUUGAUCCUCAUUUGAUGUUGGUUCCUGGAAAAUCCCUACCUUUCAAAAUUCAUGAGAGGAUUUGAGUGGUAAUCUAAACAGCUGGUCAUUUUCCUGCUCAAUUCAUUUAAAUCCAGCCAAGAAAAAAUAAAAGGAAGAAAGAAAGAACA